Molecule: ribosomal RNA, 376 nt
Filed under: uncultured bacterium
Lineage: Bacteria
Description: bacterial SSU rRNA
Rfam family: Bacterial small subunit ribosomal RNA
Source: RNAcentral
AACGAACGCUGGCGGCAGGCUUAACACAUGCAAGUCGAACGGGUGUAGCAAUACAUCAGUGGCAGACGGGUGAGUAACACGUGGGAACCUUCCUAGGGGUACGGAACAACUCAGGGAAACUUGAGCUAAUACCGUAUACGUCCGUAAGGAGAAAGAUUCAUCGCCCCUAGACGGGCCCGCGUCGGAUUAGGUAGUUGGUGGGGUAACGGCCUACCAAGCCUACGAUCCGUAGCUGAUCUGAGAGGANGAUCAGCCACACUGGGACUGAGACACGGCCCAGACUCCUACGGGAGGCAGCAGUGGGGAAUCUUGGACAAUGGGCGCAAGCCUGAUCCAGCCAUGCCGCGUGAGUGAAGAAGGCCUUAGGGUUGUAAAG